UACAGAGGUCCCGAGCGUUGUUCGGAUUCACUGGGCGUAAAGGGUGUGUAGGAGGCUAGGUAAGUCAGGUGUGAAAUCUCAGAGCUUAACUCUGAAACUGCGCUUGAUACUGCUUGGCUAGAGGAUCGGAGGGGGUAACGGAAUUCAUGGUGUAGCAGUGAAAUGCGUAGAUAUCAUGAGGAGCACCGGUGGCGAAGGCGGUUACCUGGAAGAUUCCUGACUCUGAAACACGAAAGCCAGGGGAGCAAACGGG
RNAcentral lists this ribosomal RNA (253 nucleotides) under uncultured bacterium. RNAcentral's name for it is "partial 16S ribosomal RNA". It matches the Rfam family "Bacterial small subunit ribosomal RNA", at positions 524 to 776 of the family's 1533-position model. The record is from RNAcentral.